This 4890-nucleotide long non-coding RNA is filed under the name Mytilus galloprovincialis (Mediterranean mussel). The record is from RNAcentral. Lineage: Eukaryota; Metazoa; Mollusca; Bivalvia; Mytilida; Mytilidae.
CGGGAAAAUCUUAUCUGAUUCAGGAUCAAUUCAUCGGUUACACUCCCCUGUCACCAGUGAUUCUUUUUUGCUGACAUUCUGAAAAAGUAUUGUGUAGACUAGUCCCUGUGUAAGUGUUGACUCUCAACUUGCACAUGUGAUUUUUUAACACUCCCUGGACUUCUGCAAAAACAGAAAGUUCACAGGACAUUCGACAAAAAGUCACAGGACAACAUGUCAAACUCAGGCAUAAAGUAAACAAAGUUAAUAGGACAAAAAGUCACAAACAAUUUGUUGACAAUUGAUUGAAUAUAAAUGAAAAAAAGAUUUUGAAAUAUCUUCUUUUUAUUACAUAUAUUCAUUUUUAAUUUUAGGAAAUUGUUCAUAAUAUAAAAAAGAAGAUGUGGUAUGAUUGCCAAUGAGACAACUGUCCACAAGAGACCAAAAUGACACAGACAUUAACAACUAGAGGUCUUUACGGCCUUCAACCAUAAGCCAAUAUAAAGAAGGUAUGGUAUGAUUGCCAAUGAGACAACUGUCCACAAGAGACCAAAAUGACACAGACAUUAACAACCAUAGGUCACCAAACAGCCUUCAACAAUGAGCAAAGCCCGAGGUAAAGCCCAUACCGCAUAGUCAGCUGUAAAAGGCAAUCAUACUAUAUCUUUUUUUUUUUAUAUUACAUGUUAAAAAAUGCGUGCAAAUGUAAUCAAAAGCUGCACACAAAAACGUAAUGAUUUUUGUGCGCAAAUGUAAUGGUAAUGUGCGCAAACCUAAUGCACUGAUUUAUUUGUUUUUAAUAAAUUUUUAAUUUAAAGUUGCUACAUCAUGUUCAUGUAUAAAACUUCAAGAAAAAAUACAAAAAGAGUGUUUUCUUGUUCAAAGAAAAAUAAUCUCAAAACUAAAUUGUGACUUUUUGUCCUGUGACAGUGUGUGACUUUUUGACUGUGACUUUCUGUCCUGCAUUCAGAUUGAAUAGGGGAGUUUGGUUGACCCCGCCUCCCUCUAUCUGAGACUACUAUCUCAGUGAUGAGCUUUAUGUUUCAUGUACAAAUGUAUUGUGCUUGUCAUAUAUAUGUAUGUCGGAUAAAAGCUCUACAGACCUUUAAUAUGUUGUAUUGUUAUAUGUAUAACCGACAAUAAAUAAAUAGCCCCUAACAAGUAAGAAUUAGGUUACUUCUUUUUGUUUUGACAUCUUGCAUGGGUUUUUAUAGCCCCGUAUUAAAAUUAUGCCCCCACUUUAAAAAAGGGGGGGGGGGGGGUAUACUGUUUUACCCCUGUCUGUCCAUCCAUCCUUGCGUCAGUCAGUCCGUCCGAUGAAUAUUUUUCGUCCCAUUUUCCUUAGGAACUACAAUAGAAGGAUUUCUGAAAUUUGGUUUCAGGGUUAAAUAAGUCAGCUAUACCGUGUGAUGCAUUUUCAGAUUCAUCACUCGACAACUUCCUGUUUUCCCAACACUUGUAUGAUUUUACACAUGAUAGCCAAGUUGAAAGUUGAAAACUAACAACCUAAUUUAUGUACAAAAAAAUUGAAAAACAGAUAUGUUACACAUAAACAAACGACAAUCACUGAAUUAUCGGAUCCUGACUUGGAACAGGCACAACCAUAACAAAUUGGCAGGGUAUAAGGAACUUUGAAAAUAUUUAGUUUUUUUGUGGUUUGGUCAAUUUUCCGGAUACUGUAAGCAAUAAGGCCCCUUUAUUUAGUGAAUGAAAUAAUUGUAAGAUGCACUUAGCUGUCUGUCAUAUUUUAUAUGAACUUGACCUCAUUUUCAUGCAUGGUUCAUUGGUCAAUGAAACACUGCAUUGUUUUGUCAGUUUAUCAUAUGUUUAAAGUUACAGGUAGAUUAUAUUUGGUAGAUAUGAAACAAUUGUAAGGUGUGCAUGUCUGAAUGGCAGAUUCAUAUAUAAACCAUGACCGCAUUUUAUUGUUCUUUGGUCAAUGAUAAGUUUUCUUGGUUUUGUCAUUUUAUCAGGCCACAUUUAAAAGAAUGUCUGUUUCCCCUCCCCGGGUCUACCCUUUGUAAACAGACCAGGAAGGCAGGUUUUUUUUUAGCUCACCUGACCUGAAAGGUCAAGUGAGCUUUUCUCAUCACUUGGCGUUCGUCGUCUGUCGUCCUGCGUCCGUCGUCUGUAAACUUUUACAAAAAUCUUCUCCUCUGAAACUACUUGGCCAAAUUCUACCAAACUUGGCCACAAUCAUCCUUGGGGUAUCUAGUUUAAAAAAUGUGUGGCGUGACCUGUCAAACCAACCAACCAAGAUGGCCGCCAUGGCUAAAAAUAGAACAUAGGGGUAAAAUGCAGUUUUUGGCUUAUAACUCAAAAACCAAAGCAUUUAGAGCAAAUCUGACAUGGGGUAAAAUUGUUGAUCAGGUCAAGAUCUAUCUGCCCUGAAAUUUUCAGACGAAUCGGACAACCUGUUGAUGGGUUGCUGCCUGUGAAAUGGUUAUUUUAAGGAAAUUUUGCAGUUUUUGGUUAUUAUCUUGAAUACUAUUAUAGAUAGAGAUAAACUGUAAAAGCAAUAAUGUUCAGCAAAGUAAGACCUACAAAUAAGUCAACAUGAUCCAAAAUUGUCAGUCGACCCCUUAAGGAGUUAUUGCCCUUUAUAGUCAAUUUUUAACAACUUUUCAUAAUUUUUUUGUAACUUUUUUAAAAAUCUUCUUCUCUGAAACUACUUUGCCAAAUUUAACCAAACUUGGCCACAAUUAUCAUUGUGGUUUGUAGUUUAAAAAAUGUGUCCGAUGACUCAGCCUACCAAACAAAAUGGCCGACAUGGCUAAAAUUAGAACAUAGUGGUAAAAUGCAGGUUUUGCUUUAUAUCUUUGAAACUAAGACAUUUAGGGCAAAUCUUUCAAGAUUUAAAUGUCCAUCAGAAUAAGAUAUAUCCCCUCACAAAUUUUCAGUUGAAUUGGACAACCUGUUGUUGGGUUGCUGCCCUAAAAUUGGUGAUUUUAAGGUAAUUUUGCAGUUUUUGGUUAUUAUCUUGAAUACUAUUAUAGAUAGAGAUAAACUGUAGACAGCAAUAAUGUUCAGCAAAGUAAGAUCUACAAAUAAGUCAGCAUGAUCAAAAUUGUUAGAGGACCCCUUAAGGAGUUAUUGCCCUUUAUAGUCAAUAUUGAACAACUUUUCGUCAUUUUUGUAACUUGUAUAAAAAUCAUUUCUAAAACUACUUGGCCAAAUUUAACCAAACUUGGCCACAAUCAUAAUACUAGGGUAUCUAUUUAAAAAAAAAAGUGUCUAAUGACCCCGCCUACCAACGAAGAUGGCCGACAUCAGUAAACACAUUAACAGGUGAGCGACACAGGCUCUUGAGAGCCUCUAGUUUUUUUUAACUGGAUGUGAUUGUCAUAGCAUGGUCACAUGAAUGGUUUGACUUGUCCAGUCCAGGCCACUUAUCAGUUGUUUGUGCUCAAUUUGAGUGUAUUUAUUUAGAUUAUCAAUCCUUCUGCUUUCAAGCACUUUCCAAAAAUGGAAACAAAUUAUUUUCAGGAAAAAAAUAAUUUCGAUUUUUUUGUGGAAAAUAAUUUUUUUGACCCGGGCGCUUAUUUUUGACCCGUGUGGGGGGAGGGGAAACAAACAUAUUUUUAAUUUUGGCCUUAGAUUUUUUAAGCAUAGGUCUACUUGUUGUAUGGAAUGACUACAAGGUAUCAAUAUAAAAAAGAUGUCUGCCUGCCAAGGUUAAUUUUACUGUGACCUCAUAUUCAUAGAAUAAUGAUAAUAUUCAUGAUAUUGAACAGCAAGAAUGAUGAGUAAGUUGAUGUUAUAUACAAAUAAGACAAAAUUUUCAGUUGCCUACUAAUUAUGUAAUACAUGUAGUAGUUAUUUUUGUCAUUAAAUGAUGUUUACCCUUUUAUGUGUAGGGCAAGAACAUGAAAGAUAAAGGGGAAACUAUAAACAGAAGAAAUUAUCAACAAAAUAAGAUUUACAGAGGUCAACAAAGCCUAAAUGGUAAGUCCACUGUUAUAAAAAUUUUUUUUGUCCUUGAAUAAUAAUUAAAUAUUUAUUAAAAUAAGAUGUGGUAUGAUGAAAGAGAAAACUAUCCAUCAGAGUUCAAUUUAGUGGAUGUAAGCAUUGUAAUUACUUAUUAGAGGCCAUUGAUGACCUGUAAGUAAUGAGAAAACCCAUACCCUAUACAUGUUAUAGUAAUCUAUAAAAGUCAACACUAACCAAAUUUGAAACAGAGCAUCAAUUCAAACGUCAAAUAUACCAGACUAAUUUAUAAAAACAAAAAAUUAUGAAAAAUAAAAAUGACGGGUAUGAACCAACAUCAACCACUGAACUAUGUACAAGCUCCUGAUAUUAGACAGGUAUAAUAUGGCUGGGUUGAUAUAAAAAUAAGAAACACUUAGCAGUCUGAUUUCCAAUGAGACAUUUCUCCAAUAGAGAUCAAAUGACAUUUAAGGAGGCUCUAGGGUAUAACAAUUUCAGAAAAAUGUUUUAAUAUUUUUUUUUUCAUAACUCAAUUUAUUUAUAUCUUUAUCAUAUGGUACACCAAAUCAUUCAAAACAAUCAAUUCGGUUUGGCCCCAGAUGACUUUUAAAAUGCAUAUAUCAUUGAAAAAGCUCCAAAUUAUCUCCCUUUGGUGCAAAAAAGCCAUUUUUUUGGCAUUAAAAAUGUAAUAUCUUAUUUAACUCAUCGGUGGCCUAUAUUUUUUAUUAUAAUUUUAAAUAAGCUGUACUUUAACUAAACUAUUAUAAAAUUUAAGCGAUUUCUGUAAUUUAGUACUUGAAUAUUUAAAUGAAAGUUUAUCAUAUUAAUCAUAAACAUGAUAAAAUAGCCAUUUUAUUGAUCUCUUCACUGAUAAUUUUUGAGUUUGUGUAUUUGUAGGUCAGAAAUCUGGAUUUUCAUGGUCAUCAUUCACAGAUCAAUACUGAACGGAAAACUUAAAGCUGAUAUUUUUCUCCAUAGUGCGAC